RNAcentral lists this long non-coding RNA (215 nucleotides) under Salarias fasciatus (jewelled blenny). Its description in RNAcentral is "lncRNA (ENSSFAG00005000759.1)". Lineage: Eukaryota; Metazoa; Chordata; Actinopteri; Blenniiformes; Blenniidae. The record is from RNAcentral.
CUGCUGGCGGCGAUCAUCCUGGGGGGAACUGGCUGGGGAUUUAAAAACAUCCGAAAAGGAAGAUCUUCGGGAGUCUGAGUCCCGUCUCUCUGCUGCCCUGUCUUCCUCACACUGUGCCCAGUCCGGUCUGAGGAGACGGAAACAAAGACGUCUUCCAGUCUGGAGCCCUCAGACCCUUUUCUGUUUCCUGCUCUCUGCUCUUCGCCACACGUCUG